RNAcentral lists this transfer RNA (73 nucleotides) under Chloroflexota bacterium. RNAcentral describes it as "Chloroflexi bacterium (oil production facility metagenome) tRNA-Arg". It matches the Rfam family "tRNA". Rfam says of the family: Transfer RNA (tRNA) molecules are approximately 80 nucleotides in length. Their secondary structure includes four short double-helical elements and three loops (D, anti-codon, and T loops). The record is from RNAcentral. Lineage: Bacteria; Bacillati; Chloroflexota.
GCCCCAAUAGCUCAGAGGAUAGAGCAACUGCCUUCUAAGCAGUGGGCCGUAGGUUCGAAUCCUACUUGGGGCG